GAUGAACGCUGGCGGCGUGCCUAAUACAUGCAAGUCGAGCGAAUGGAUUAAGAGCUUGCUCUUAUGAAGUUAGCGGCGGACGGGUGAGUAACACGUGGGUAACCUGCCCAUAAGACUGGGAUAACUCCGGGAAACCGGGGCUAAUACCGGAUAACAUUUUGAACCGCAUGGUUCGAAAUUGAAAGGCGGCUUCGGCUGUCACUUAUGGGUGGACCCGCGUCGCAUUAGCUAGUUGGUGAGGUAACGGCUCACCAAGGCAACGAUGCGUAGCCGACCGGAGAGGGUGACCGGCCACACUGGGACUGAGACACGGCCCAGACUCCUACGGGAGGCAGCAGUAGGGAAUCUUCCGCAAUGGACGAAAGUCUGACGGAGCAACGCCGCGUGAGUGAUGAAGGCUUUCGGGUCGUAAAACUCUGUUGUUAGGGAAGAACAAGUGCUAGUUGAAUAAGCUGGCACCUUGACGGUACCUAACCAGAAAGCCACGGCUAACUACGUGCCAGCCGCCGCCGUAA
Molecule: ribosomal RNA, 515 nt
Filed under: uncultured bacterium
Lineage: Bacteria
Description: partial 16S ribosomal RNA
Rfam family: Bacterial small subunit ribosomal RNA
Source: RNAcentral